Molecule: transfer RNA, 74 nt
Filed under: Candidatus Woesearchaeota archaeon
Lineage: Archaea; Nanobdellati; Candidatus Woesearchaeota
Description: tRNA-Met
Rfam family: tRNA
About the family: Transfer RNA (tRNA) molecules are approximately 80 nucleotides in length. Their secondary structure includes four short double-helical elements and three loops (D, anti-codon, and T loops).
Source: RNAcentral
AGCGGGGUAGGGCAGUCUGGAGUGCCCGUUGGGCUCAUAACCCAAGGUCGGUGGUUCAAAUCCACCCCCCGCUA